Molecule: small RNA, 117 nt
Filed under: Pongo abelii (Sumatran orangutan)
Lineage: Eukaryota; Metazoa; Chordata; Mammalia; Primates; Hominidae
Description: Metazoan signal recognition particle RNA (ENSPPYG00000037608.1)
Source: Rfam by way of RNAcentral
GCUGGGUGUGGUGGCUCACACCCGUAAUCCCAGCACUUUGGGAGGCUGAGGUGGGCGGAUCACUUGAGGUCAGGAGUUCACGACCAGCCUGGCCAACACAGUGAAACCCCAUCUCUA